GUUGACCUCGGAUCAGGUAGGAAUACCCGCUGAACUUAAGCAUAUCAAUAAGCCGGAGGAA
This 61-nucleotide ribosomal RNA is filed under the name Colletotrichum truncatum. RNAcentral's name for it is "partial 28S ribosomal RNA". Lineage: Eukaryota; Fungi; Ascomycota; Sordariomycetes; Glomerellales; Glomerellaceae. The record is from RNAcentral. RNAcentral also lists the same sequence under 4 other names.